Molecule: ribosomal RNA, 468 nt
Filed under: uncultured bacterium
Lineage: Bacteria
Description: SSU rRNA
Rfam family: Bacterial small subunit ribosomal RNA
Source: RNAcentral
AGGACGAACGCUGGCGGCGUGCUUAAUACAUGCAAGUCGAACGAGGUUCACUUCGGUGGGCCUAGUGGCGAACGGGUGAGUAACACGUGAGCAACCUGCCCCGAAGACCGGGAUAACAGUGGGAAACCGCUGCUAAUACCGGAUACCCCCAUUGGAUCCCAUGGUCCGAUGAGGAAAUGGAUUCCGCUUCGGGAGGGGCUCGCGGCCUAUCAGCUUGUUGGUGGGGUAACGGCCUACCAAGGCUUCGACGGGUAGCUGGUCUGAGAGGACGAUCAGCCACACUGGGACUGAGACACGGCCCAGACUCCUACGGGAGGCAGCAGUAGGGAAUCUUGCGCAAUGGGCGAAAGCCUGACGCAGCAACGCCGCGUGAGGGAUGGGAGGCCUUCGGGUUGUAAACCUCUUUCAGCAGGGACGAUUGUGACGGUACCUGCAGAAGAGCCCCGGCAACUACGUGCCAGCAGCCGC